RNAcentral lists this ribosomal RNA (432 nucleotides) under uncultured bacterium. RNAcentral's name for it is "bacterial SSU rRNA". It matches the Rfam family "Bacterial small subunit ribosomal RNA", at positions 30 to 460 of the family's 1533-position model. The record is from RNAcentral.
AUUGAACGCUGGCGGCAUGCCUUACACAUGCAAGUCGAACGGCAGCGGGGACUUCGGUCCGCCGGCGAGUGGCGAACGGGUGAGUAAAGUAUCGGAACGUACCUUUCAGUGGGGGAUAACGUAGCGAAAGUUACGCUAAUACCGCAUAUUCUGUGAGCAGGAAAGCAGGGGAUCGCAAGACCUUGCGCUGAUUGAGCGGCCGAUAUCAGAUUAGCUAGUUGGUGGGGUAAAGGCCUACCAAGGCUACGAUCUGUAGCGGGUCUGAGAGGAUGAUCCGCCACACUGGGACUGAGACACGGCCCAGACUCCUACGGGAGGCAGCAGUGGGGAAUUUUGGACAAUGGGGGCAACCCUGAUCCAGCCAUGCCGCGUGAGUGAAGAAGGCCUCGGGUUGUUAAAGGCUACUUUCGCAAGGAAAGAAAACUUAAUACU